GCAAUGUAUAUAAAUGUCUACAACUUCAGUAAUUUUCAAAGUCUAAUCUUGCUUAAUUACGUCAUACGUGACGUCACGAAACGUAUCACAAGCGGUACAACUGGCAAACACCGUUUUCACGAAGUGGCCUCUUACGCGCAAAUGUAGUCUGCUAUUGAUAAUCGUACACGAACCGGCUCCGCGAAGCCCUUGUCACAGAUGCCGGUGCUUCUGGCGGAAUUGUUAGAGGAAUCUGACAGCCCUAGAAUAGCCGGCUGAGAGGACCAUCACUAGCACUCCCAGUGGCUGAUGUCUAAGUAGGAGUUUGAUGUGGAGAGCUUUAAGCAUGUUGUUGAGUUUACCAGUAGAAUAGACAGCUGGGAUACGCAAGAGAUGAGGGACCACUAGCACCCCCAGUGGUUGAUGUCCAUGUAGGAGUUUGUGCAGCUGAUGUGGAGAGCUUUUAGCAAAUUGACAAGCAUCUUCACCCUCUGCCCUUGAACUGAUUGCUUUUCCAAUACCAUGGUUUAGAGGUCAGACCAAACGACUGACAGACCGACCGACUGAAUAGCUAAGUCCCCUCAGUCAUCAAAGGAUGGACAAAAAUACAGAAGUUAUUGUUAGGUGGGAUCGUGAUGGAGAGAUCAAUUGUGGCAAGAAACGAGAUCUU
Molecule: long non-coding RNA, 649 nt
Filed under: Strongylocentrotus purpuratus (purple sea urchin)
Lineage: Eukaryota; Metazoa; Echinodermata; Echinoidea; Camarodonta; Strongylocentrotidae
Description: uncharacterized LOC115926204, transcript variant X2
Source: RNAcentral